RNAcentral lists this transfer RNA (75 nucleotides) under candidate division Zixibacteria bacterium SM23_81. RNAcentral's name for it is "tRNA-Gly". It matches the Rfam family "tRNA". Rfam says of the family: Transfer RNA (tRNA) molecules are approximately 80 nucleotides in length. Lineage: Bacteria; Pseudomonadati; Candidatus Zixiibacteriota. The record is from RNAcentral. RNAcentral also lists the same sequence under 2 other names.
GCGGGCGUAAUUCAGCGGUAGAAUGCAAGCUUCCCAAGCUUGACGUCGAGGGUUCGACUCCCUUCGCCCGCUCCA